Long non-coding RNA from Nothoprocta perdicaria, 524 nucleotides. RefSeq lists it as uncharacterized. The transcript has 3 exons. The record is from RefSeq and is a predicted model, not a curated record. NCBI's taxonomy places the organism in Eukaryota, Metazoa, Chordata, Aves, Tinamiformes, Tinamidae.
CACUGACUUUGGCCAAGUCAUAAUGAAAAUAAAGAUGAGUAGUAGAACUAAUUAACGUUUCAAGAGGCUUCAGUAAUCUGAGAUGCUGUUAGUUACGUAAUUUAAAUAUUGUUUUCUUGUAAUACUAGUUCCUUGACUUGAUAAGUAUCUACUUACAUUUUCAGGUGAAUUUAGUAUGUUGGAAUCCACACUGGCAACAAGACAAGAGCUCUUCUUGGUCCCUGUAUACUUAUUUAUACGUUCUUUGGCAGCAGCCCACCUCUUGUUUCUAUGGGUUUAGCGUCUUUCUGGAAGAAGAAUUUAAAGGAUGCUGAAUGAAUGUUGAGGAACCACGAUCUGCUGUUCUGCUGCUGCAGUGCAACUCAGCAUCAACCCAUGUGCAAGCGCAAAACUGAAGCUGUCAAACUAAAGGGAUUCAAGUUGCACCUCAGAAGCUACAACUCUUCCAAAAAGGGUUGCCCACUGAAGUGAGUUACUUUUCAUGUUGUUGGAGUAGCAGUAUGUGCCUGUGCCUUCAACUGCAU